CCUACGGGCGGCUGCAGUGGGGAAUAUUGCACAAUGGGGGAAACCCUGAUGCAGCAACGCCGCGUGAAGGAAGACGGUUUUCGGAUUGUAAACUUCUGUUUUUAGUGAAGAAUAAUGACGGUAGCUAAGGAGCAAGCCACGGCUAACUACGUGCCAGCAGCCGCGGUAAUACGGAGGUGGCAAGCGUUGUCCGGAAUUACUGGGUGUAAAGGGAGCGCAGGCGGGAAGCCAAGUCAGCUGUGAAAACUACGGGCUUAACUUGUAGACUGCGGUUGAAACUGGUUUGCUUGAGUGAAGUAGAGGUAGGCGGAAUUCGGAGUGUAGCGGUGAAAUGCGUAGAUAUUCGGAGGAACACCGAUUGCGAAGGCGGCCAACUGGGCCUGAACUGACGCUGAGGCUCGAAAGUGUGGGGAGCAAACAGGAUUAGAUACCCGUGUAGUC
Molecule: ribosomal RNA, 441 nt
Filed under: uncultured bacterium
Lineage: Bacteria
Description: partial 16S ribosomal RNA
Rfam family: Bacterial small subunit ribosomal RNA
Source: RNAcentral